This 468-nucleotide ribosomal RNA is filed under the name uncultured bacterium. RNAcentral's name for it is "partial 16S ribosomal RNA". It matches the Rfam family "Bacterial small subunit ribosomal RNA", at positions 28 to 507 of the family's 1533-position model. The record is from RNAcentral.
GACGAACGCUGGCGGCGUGCUUAACACAUGCAAGUCGAACGGAAAGGCCCUGCUUUUGUGGGGUGCUCGAGUGGCGAACGGGUGAGUAACACGUGAGUAACCUGCCCUUGACUUUGGGAUAACUUCAGGAAACUGGGGGUAAUACCGGAUAGGAGCUCCUGCUUCAUGGUGGGGGUUGGAAAGUUUCGGCGGUUGGGGAUGGACUCGCGGCUUAUCAGCUUGUUGGUGGGGUAGUGGCUUACCAAGGCUUUGACGGGUAGCCGGCCUGAGAGGGUGACCGGCCACAUUGGGACUGAGAUACGGCCCAGACUCCUACGGGAGGCAGCAGUGGGGAAUAUUGCACAAUGGGCGGAAGCCUGAUGCAGCAACGCCGCGUGCGGGAUGACGGCCUUCGGGUUGUAAACCGCUUUCGCCUGUGACGAAGCGUGAGUGACGGUAAUGGGUAAAGAAGCACCGGCUAACUACGUG